This 293-nucleotide ribosomal RNA is filed under the name uncultured bacterium. RNAcentral describes it as "partial 16S ribosomal RNA". It matches the Rfam family "Bacterial small subunit ribosomal RNA", at positions 29 to 306 of the family's 1533-position model. The record is from RNAcentral.
AACGAACGCUGGCGGCGUGCCUAAUACAUGCAAGUCGAGCGAGAAAGUCUCUUCGGAGAUGAGUAAAGCGGCGCACGGGUGAGUAACACGUGGGCAAUCUGCCCUCGAGUCUGGGAUAACCCGGGGAAACUCGGGCUAAUACCGGAUACGGCUACGGGGUCUUCGGAUCCUGUGGAGAAAGAUGGCCUCUUCUUGAAAGCUAUCUCUCGAGGAUGAGCCCGCGUCCUANAGCUACUUGGUGGGGUAACGGCUCACCAAGGCAAAGAUGGGUAGCUGGUCUGAGAGGAUGACCA